This 254-nucleotide ribosomal RNA is filed under the name uncultured bacterium. RNAcentral's name for it is "partial 16S ribosomal RNA". It matches the Rfam family "Bacterial small subunit ribosomal RNA", at positions 524 to 776 of the family's 1533-position model. The record is from RNAcentral.
AACAGAGGAUGCAAGCGUUAUCCGGAAUUAUUGGGCGUAAAGGGCGCGUAGGCGGUCUAGUAAGUUACUUGUGAAAUCUAUGGGCUUAACCCAUAACGGCCAAGUAAUACUGCUUGGACUAGAGUGCAGAAGGGGCAACUGGAAUUCUUGGUGUAGCGGUGAAAUGCGUAGAUAUCAAGAGGAACACCUGAGGCGAAGGCGGGUUGCUGGGCUGACACUGACGCUGAGGCGCGAAAGCUAGGGGAGCAAACAGG